Anoplophora glabripennis (Asian longhorned beetle) is the source of this 1054-nucleotide long non-coding RNA. RefSeq lists it as uncharacterized. NCBI's taxonomy places the organism in Eukaryota, Metazoa, Arthropoda, Insecta, Coleoptera, Cerambycidae. The transcript is spliced from 6 exons. The record is from RefSeq and is a predicted model, not a curated record.
CCUUAUCUAGUCUCCCUGGGCGCGAUCCAGAAUUUCUGUCAUCUGUCGGAAAUAUAUCGGUAUUGUCGGUUUUGUUUUGGUGUGAAUUUCAGGAUAUUUAUAAUUACCACGUUCAUCAGCGCUUAGAUUAAAAUAGAAAAAAAGUGGAAUAUGGUACACUGUAUUGUAUCACGGUUACCCAAGGGUGUGAAGUAGAAUUGGAAUGCAAGCAGUGCAAUGUCCAGCCUCACUUCCAACCUUUGGUUCUUGACAAUUCAUUAGUUCCUGACAAAUUGUUUAUCAUCACAUUGCUGGAGUAGUUUUCCAGGAGUAGUACAACUAGUACAGCGAUUAGUUUCUAUCGUCUGACUUAAAUUUGUUUUACUGUGAUGGCAAGAAUGCAAAUUAUAAGGUUGGACUCGAGUUGUAAUUUAGACAAAAAUUUUCUAAGACAGACAGUUAUUGAUACAUAUGCUAUAUGAACUUGCAAGAGACACAAUUCAAGGCUGUUCUAAAAAAUAUUUAGUAUUGCUGUAAAGAAUACCAUAAAUCUGGAAGUGCUAACGAGAAGGCUAACAUAGUUAAUAUUUUGAUACUGUUUCAAGUGCAAUAUUUAAGAGAAGCAGAAUAUGAAGAAUUAUUAGCAUGAAACUGAAAAAUUGAAGAAAGAACAUGUUCACUGAAUGAUAAAACUUCUGUGUUUCUAUAUCAUCUAUGUUGUCGAUUACCACAAAAUGUGUUAUAUUUAAGAUAAGGUAGCUGUUGUAGAGCAUAGUAUCGAUUUUAGUUAAACAGAGCAGAAAAACAUAUCGAUAAAUAAUUCUUUCCUGCCUGCCAGAAAUAAAAGAUUCUCUAUCGACUCGAUACUCGAAGAUCCAGACCAAAUGUCUGUAUCCUUUGCAUUUGAAAAGAAAUAUAAUGGAUAUUAAGCAAAUGUAAUUUGUUGAAGUUCUUGAGAUGUGGACUUCUGUGACGAAAUAGGAUGAUGCAUAAAAAGAAAUGUCCUUGGAAGGCUUUGGAGAACAUUAAGAGAAAAUUAAUGAUGGUUAGGAAUUAAAAUGUUUCAAAAUGGAAA